This 271-nucleotide long non-coding RNA is filed under the name Elaeis guineensis (African oil palm). RNAcentral describes it as "long non-coding RNA (EGUI_LNC014871)". The record is from RNAcentral. Lineage: Eukaryota; Viridiplantae; Streptophyta; Magnoliopsida; Arecales; Arecaceae.
GUGUCUUAGGGCACAUGAAAAUGAGGUAACCUCUGAAACUCAAAAUGAAUUUUCUUAUGAUGAACUGCAAGAAGCUUUUCAUGAACUUUUGAAUGAUCUAAGAAAAUUAGGAUUGAAAAAUAAAAAUCUGAAAUUAAGAAACCAAGCAUUAGCUCAAGAAAAAGAAGAAGUUGACAGUAAAAAUAAAAAAUCAAAAAUAAAGAAUCAAACUCUAUUAAAAGAAAAAGAUCAAGUUUUGAACUUAAACAAAGCUCUUAUAAAAGAAAAUCAG